GUGGGGAAUAUUGCACAAUGGGCGAAAGCCUGAUGCAGCGACGCCGCGUGAGCGAUGAAGUAUUUCGGUACGUAAAGCUCUAUCAGCAGGGAAGAUAAUGACGGUACCUGACUAAGAAGCACCGGCUAAAUACGUGCCAGCAGCCGCGGUAAUACGUAUGGUGCAAGCGUUAUCCGGAUUUACUGGGUGUAAAGGGAGCGUAGGCGGCGUGGUAAGUCAGAAGUGAAAGCCCGGGGCUCAACCCCGGGACUGCUUUUGAAACUAUCAUGCUAGAGUGUCGGAGAGGUAAGUGGAAUUCCUAGUGUAGCGGUGAAAUGCGUAGAUAUUCGGAGGAACACCAGUGGCGAAGGCGGCUCACUGGCUCGAUACUGACGCUGAGGUGCGAAAGCGUGGGGAGCAAACAGGAUUAGAAACCCGGGUAGUCC
This 425-nucleotide ribosomal RNA is filed under the name uncultured bacterium. Its description in RNAcentral is "partial 16S ribosomal RNA". It matches the Rfam family "Bacterial small subunit ribosomal RNA", at positions 354 to 796 of the family's 1533-position model. The record is from RNAcentral.